UUGUUUUGCUUUUUUUGCUUUUUAUUUUUUAUUUUUUAUUCCCUAUACGGCUUCUACAUCCAUUCUGUCUUUUAGACUCCCAGAUGCAGCAUUUUCCAUUCUUAGACAGAUACCUCUGUGGCCCUGAACAGGAGUUUGGCAGCAUGAAGAUCUCUUUUCCUGGAUAUGGUGUAGCAACAGUUCGCUUGUGAGACCUAGAAUCACCUAUGGCCUCCAGUCAAUCAUCAUGUGUUGUUGAUGAGUUGCAAAUCGAAGCACCAACUUGUUGGUGUGGGUUGAAAGCCCCAUUGAAGACCUCCCAUACUAAGAAAAAUCCUGGAAGGAAAUUUUACGCCUGCCCGAAGUAUAACACGGGAGAAGAAAUGUGUCAAUUCUUUAUAUGGGCAGAUAUACUUCAAUUGGUAGAGGAAAAAAUACGCACAAGAGAGAAUGCAGCUCGAAAAAGGGAGGAUGAUUUACUAUUGCGCGAGUAUGAAGUUCAGAAAACGAAAGAUAAACUUGUUGAGAGAGAGAAUGUUCUUUACAAGCAAGAGAAGAAAAUUGGAAAGCAGCUCGUAGAGAAUAGAUGUGCACGAAUAUGUUUAUGUAUUUAUUGGGUGUUAUCAAUUGUAAUAAUAUUUGGUUGCCUUGGACUAUAAAUGUACUUUUGAAGAAGUACAUUGUAGAUAGAUGGUACGGAUUAAUGUAUAUUAAUUGUACUAAUUGUAUUAAUGUUAAUGCCUA
Juglans regia (Persian walnut) is the source of this 723-nucleotide long non-coding RNA. RefSeq lists it as uncharacterized. The transcript has 3 exons. The record is from RefSeq and is a predicted model, not a curated record. Lineage: Eukaryota; Viridiplantae; Streptophyta; Magnoliopsida; Fagales; Juglandaceae.